Molecule: ribosomal RNA, 484 nt
Filed under: uncultured bacterium
Lineage: Bacteria
Description: partial 16S ribosomal RNA
Rfam family: Bacterial small subunit ribosomal RNA
Source: RNAcentral
AUUGAACGCUGGCGGCAGGCCUAACACAUGCAAGUCGAGCGGAUGAAGGGAGCUUGCUCCUGGAUUCAGCGGCGGACGGGUGAGUAAUGCCUAGGAAUCUGCCUGGUAGUGGGGGAUAACGUCCGGAAACGGGCGCUAAUACCGCAUACGUCCUGAGGGAGAAAGUGGGGGAUCUUCGGACCUCACGCUAUCAGAUGAGCCUAGGUCGGAUUAGCUAGUUGGUGGGGUAAAGGCCUACCAAGGCGACGAUCCGUAACUGGUCUGAGAGGAUGAUCAGCCACACUGGAACUGAGACACGGUCCAGACUCCUACGGGAGGCAGCAGUGGGGAAUAUUGGACAAUGGGCGAAAGCCUGAUGCAGCCAUGCCGCGUGUGUGAAGAAGGUCUUCGGAUUGUAAAGCACUUUCAGCUGGGAGGAAGGGCAGUAAGUUAAUACCUUGCUGUAUUGACGUUACCCGCAGAAGAAGCACCGGCUAACUUCGUG